UUUUCAGGAUUCACAGCAAAUUUUUUAAAAGAUUUCUAUUUUUAACAUAUUCAUUAUAUUAUUAUUAGAGUUUGGUGAAUAUGCUAAAUGCCUCUCCCUUCCAUGAGUUUAUGAAUUUCAAUUAUAUCUUCUCUUCACCAUUGGGUAUCUGGCCUAAUCAAUAUUAAUAGAUAUUUAACCACAUUUUAAAGCUAUAAUAAUUAAAAUAGUAUAAUACUUAUAUAGGGAGGAACAUUAAAUACUCAGGAGAUGUAAUUUUUUUAGCCUCUUAAUUUGGCAGUGUAUCUCAAAAUGUGGUAUGUAUCAAAAUAAUCUGGCCCCAAUUUCAUAACUUCUAAGUGGGAUGCAGCUCUGCCAUGUAUUUGUUGAAGGCAGUGAUGGUGGCAGUGAUUCUAAAAGAGAAAUUCUCAAUUUUGUAGCUGAUUCGCAUAGAGGGCUUGUGACUCCAUCACCUACUGUCUGUGUGACCCUGUGCAAGUUACCUAACCUUCCAUGCCUCAGACUCUUCCUCUCUAGAAGAACUGAGCAUAAUAAUAGUGCCUUCUUCAUCGGAUUAUUAUGAUAGUUACAUGAAUUAAGACAUGGAAUGUGCCAGGUACUAUGUAUAGUAAGUAUCAAAUAUCUGCUAUUAUUAUGCUAAGGCCUGUUAUUACAAAGUAAAGUUACCUAAUAUUUAUUAUUUUUUACGUGUUAUAAAUUGUUAGGCACACUGAAGAUAUAAAUGCAUGAUCUCAUUUAUUUUUCAUAUCCACUCAAUAUGCUGAAUGUUGUCUUACCCAUUUCAGAGGUUGGAAAAGUGAGGUCCAGAGAGGCUUAGCUGGCUGAGUGUGACUGAGAAGAAAAGGCUUGGGGCUGCAAACUCCACAGAGAUAAAGGGGCUACUGCUAUCUUGCUUUGGUAGUUACAGUAAAUCAAGAUAAAGACACCAGUCUGCUUGGACUUGUGGAGAGGUAGCAAACAGGUAUGGAAGACCUGGAAUCGACUUCAGAAAUGCUCACGAUGCUUGGGUACCCUGAUGUGGUACUACCUAGCCUACUUGGGUCAAAUGACUUUUGCAAAAUUCUAUAAGAUACUUAGCAUUCUCCUGUGGCAAUUAUUUGUUAACAAAAUGCUGGAAGGAAGAGCUCUAAAGAUUUUCUUAAAUAUAUCUGUCCCAGGGAUAUCAAAUGUUUAGGAGAAAUAGUGUAGUAACAGAGGUAAGCUAUCAAUUUAAUUUCACUUGACAUCUAAUCUAGUUGUGUUACCAUGAUGUUCCCUGACUACGUAGGGCUUCUGCCUGCCAUUGGACACUAAAUAAUUAAGAAUUAGUUUCUUGGGUUGUUGAUUAUAUCAGAAAGUCCCAGGUUAUAAACGGGAUUAAACAGUGAACACACUAAAGGUAUAAAGUUAUUUAUUCAGUAUAUUUAUAAGGCCUCAACAUAAUUUAUAGAAUUUACAUUUAGCUAUGUAUUUAUCCAAGAGAGAUUUGUUAAGCUACAUUUCAGAAAGAUUUACUAACUAUAUGUGUACAUCAAAUUCAAAGUAGGCUUAUACAUUUGAGCUUUAUAUUGGACAGAAUUAUUCUAAUGACAUAGUAAGCUAGACAAUUGAGUUCUCCUAUAGAAAACUUAUACUUUUUUAAACUACCAAUAACCAUUACCCUAUUAAAAAUGGCUUCACAAAUAUGACAGUACAGGAGAAGACUCAUAGGAGAACUUCUCAGUGGGUAGACUGGCCAUUCUGAUCUGAGUGCAAAUAACACCAAGGCAGAGUUUACUUAAGCUUAUGUCUAUAAAAUUUAAGUGUUGAAGUGGGAAGAUAUUAAUUUAUAUGCAUGGCCUGUUAAAUGGCUAGUUUAGAGCUAUCAAAUAAUCUUGUAUAUGAUGUUAUACUAUGUUAUUCUUUGUGAAAAGGUAAUAAGGACAGUGUAAAUUUCAGGGCUACUUCCUACUCAUACCUUGUUGAUAAAAAUGUAGAUUGGUUGAAUACUUCGAAGAGCAGUUUGGCAAUAUUGAAUAUGAGCUGUAAAAAUACAUAACCAUUGUAACAUGAAGACCUUAUGUAAAUUAACAAGAAAAACUCAUCUGCAGUAAGCCUUAUCGAACCCCUUGCCUGGGCUAAAUGCUCUAUUCCAAAUAAAUAAAUAAAUAGUUUGUAAUUAGAGGAGGGUUUUUAUGUUCAAUUGUGAGAUCAAUCUUUAAGAAAUUUUAAGGAUUUAAUAGUCUUAUAUAAUUAGAGCUUGAAGUUAAAGGGAAAAGAUGUUAAAUGAGGUGAAAGUGAGCAGAAAGAAAUCUUCUGCAUAUAGAGGUAACAUCUCAAUCAGAAGAAAGAAGGUUAAAAAAAGACCCGCAUCAGUUAGGAAGUGGUAAUUACACUAAUAUUUCAUUAUUAACUUCAAUCGUAAUUGAUUGACUUUUUUGACUUACUGUUGUGAUGAAAUGGCAACAGAGUAGAUUAUUAACUUUCAGACAGAAAUAUUAAUUUUCCCUUUGAUCAAUAGCUUAAGAUAGAGAUAAAAUAAAAUGAAUAAGGAGAAUUAUGCUUGUUCGUGUUAAAAAUUUACUAACCAGCAAAGGCAUGAGAAUGAUAUAAUGGACUUUGGGGACUUGGGGAGAAGGGUGGGAGCGGGAUGAGGGAUAAAAGACCACAUAUUGGGUACAGUGUACACUGCUUGGGUGACAGGUGCACUAAAAUCUCAGAAAUCACCACUAAAGAACUUAUUAUCCACGUAACCAAAGACCAUCUGUACCACAAAAACUAAUGAAAUACAAAAAAAAUUUAUGAGCCAAAGGGAAAUAUCAGUGUGUGGCUAUAUUCUAAGUACAUCCAGUUUAAAGUAAUGAAUAUCGUUUCUCAUCUGACCCAUUUAAAGCUGGGCUUCCAUGUGCCACUGUGUAUCAAUAAAGGCAUCUAUGAAAGAGCACGGGGGAGGAAGUCAGAAUCUCUAAAAACUAGCUACUCAUUCUCAUGUACAAGUUAGAUUAUUUGGGGAUUUGAUUUUUCUAUCCAUUGUGUAGUCAUACCAUUUAUGUUUUAGAUAUUAAUAAGCAAAACUUUGGACAUACCAGGACACUCAUAGAUGAUUUAAACUUUGUAAUUUAUGUUACCCAUUUGACCCCCAUUCAAAGACUCACUAAUGAACUUUUAACCCUUAACUUUUCUUGGCAAGAGCAUUAUAUUUAAACUGGAAAUGCAUAGAAAUCAUCAUUGGAACAUUUAUAAGGAUCAUUCCUACUGUAAUUCGCUAACAACUCACUACUAGGUGGAUUGCUUUUUGUUCAGUUUUGCUCUUUUCUGGUUUACUUCCAACCUGUUUACUGAGACUGUCUUGGUAAUGCAAAUCUUUCUUCUUUGUUAGUCCACAGACAGUUUGCUCAUUUCGGAAGAAAGCUCCUGACUGAGGUUCUUUAGAUGCGUUUAACGGAGGGACAGCUGUGCAGAAGCAUCACUGUCUCACUCUUUUCCAGACUGAUCAAAUGAAGCGUCUGUCAUGUCACACAUAUGGAGUUCUCUACCAACAGCAAAGGCUAUUUAGUCAAGUUCUACAGAUCAAAAGUCUAACACUGGUGUUAUUGGGCUGAAAUCCAGGCGAUGGCAGAGCUGCGCUCCUUUCUGGAGGCUCCGGGGAGAAUUCUCUUCCUUAACCUUUCAAGCUUCUCGAGGCCCUCUGCACUCCCUGGAGACAGGAGGAGAGAAGAAUCAUGGACUCCCUGGGCACAGCACCGCAGGUGGCUUUGCCAGUUCUCCCAGCCCCGCGCUGCUCCUGCGCCUGCGCUGAGCCUCCACGUGUCCUCAGGAGACUUAGCCUAGCCUGGGUAUCACCAGCAGUGGGCCAGGCCGCUUUGCCUUCAACUCCCAACAGUAACCUUGCAGAGGUCAGCCUGGGGCCACCAGGAGGAGUUAGUAAGAGCUUAUCCUGUGGGGGCACUCACUGGGGCUGGUGGCCGGGAAAUCCCAGGUGUUUUGUUGGUUUGAGUUUUGU
Molecule: long non-coding RNA, 3961 nt
Filed under: Homo sapiens (human)
Lineage: Eukaryota; Metazoa; Chordata; Mammalia; Primates; Hominidae
Description: HSALNT0372599
Source: RNAcentral